CCAAGGGCACUGCUGGCAAUUGAAUACAAUCUCAGCUUGUGAGGCUUCCCAUUCUUGUCGACACCAUCUGGAAUUACACCAACAGAUUGCCCUUCUCUGUACGGAACCUCUCCCUCAGUGCUGAACACCAUGUGCCAAGUUUCUCCAGGAGCAUCAUCACCAGUGAUCUUAGUAUUCAAAAGGCAUCUACCAAUAUAAGGGUUUUUAGGCUUGAACUUGUUAACGAUCACACCUUCCUCCAUUUUUUUGGAUUCCUUCUGAACCUUAGUAGGAGCCUCAGUGGUGACCUGGGCUCUGAUGCAAACCAC
This 308-nucleotide unclassified non-coding RNA is filed under the name Hevea brasiliensis (rubber tree). The record is from RNAcentral. Lineage: Eukaryota; Viridiplantae; Streptophyta; Magnoliopsida; Malpighiales; Euphorbiaceae.